Molecule: ribosomal RNA, 448 nt
Filed under: uncultured bacterium
Lineage: Bacteria
Description: partial 16S ribosomal RNA
Rfam family: Bacterial small subunit ribosomal RNA
Source: RNAcentral
CCUACGGGGGGCUGCAGUGGGGAAUUUUGGACAAUGGGGGCAACCCUGAUCCAGCCAUGCCGCGUGCGGGAAGAAGGCCUUCGGGUUGUAAACCGCUUUCGGCCGGAACGAAAUCGCCGGGGAGAACAUCCCCGGUGGAUGACGGUACCGGACGAAGAAGCACCGGCUAACUACGUGCCAGCAGCCGCGGUAAUACGUAGGAUGCGAGCGUUAAUCGGAAUUACUGGGCGUAAAGCUAAGACAGGCGGUUACUCCCCGGGCUUAACCUGGGAACUGCGUUUGUGACUGGCGGGCUGGAGUGCGGAAGAGGGAGGUGGAAUUCCACGUGUAGCAGUGAAAUGCGUAGAGAUGUGGAGGAACACCGAUGGCGAAGGCAGCCUCCUGGUCUAGCACUGACGCUCAUGCACGAAAGCGUGGGGAGCAAACAGGAUUAGAUACCCCAGUAGUC